RNAcentral lists this long non-coding RNA (1054 nucleotides) under Coturnix japonica (Japanese quail). Its description in RNAcentral is "lncRNA (ENSCJPG00005015387.1)". The record is from RNAcentral. Lineage: Eukaryota; Metazoa; Chordata; Aves; Galliformes; Phasianidae.
UAGGUUACUAAUAAAAUAUUUGCUUUAAAACUAGCAUUUCCAUUUAAUUCAGUCACCAUGGAACAAUCAACUCUGUCUUCACAGUAAAAUCCAGUAUUGCAACAUGUGUAUCUCCAAAGUCAAUUGCAAGGCCUCUGUAGGAAUCAAUACAGAUCUUAAAGAACUUUUGCAUGUUAGAAAUUCUGGAGUAAGGAUGGUUAACUAUGCAGACAGGAAGCCCAUAAAAUUAAACAAAUGGAAAUGCAAAGUCCUGCAGAUGGAAUGGUAGAAAGAAUGCCAUCUACAUGGCUGGAGAGCUGAACAACUGGGAAGCAGCUUUUCAGGAAAGGAUCUGUGGUUCUCAGUGAGCAUAAAAUAAUCCAUGAGCCAGAGAUACACCCUUGCAGCAAAUGCCGACAGCAUCCUGGGCUGUGUUUUGAGAGCAUCGUGGGCUGGUCAAGGGAGGCAAUUCUUCAUUUCUGUUCACCACAUAUUGCACUGAACUAAUGCAUCUCUGUCUUAGAGGCUAUAAUCAUCAAACAUACGCAGAAGUUUAUAAAAGCAGUGCACUCCUUUAGCAAUUAUUUUUUCUACAUUGCUCUUAAAUUAGUUCAGUUUUUAGUUUUGUCUCUGAAUUUCAGCACAAGAGCAGAUGGAAAACUUGGGUGCAAGCUGUGUGUGACUAGAAUCAUUAAUUCGCUCCAUCAGUGUAUAAUGUUUGUAUUAGUUCUGAUUGGAUGAAGUAUAAACAGAGGAGGUAAGAUACUACAGUAUAUACAUUGAGGCUUCUGUUGCAGAAACAGAACAUUGCGAGCAUUUCAGGUUUGAUCCUGAUGUACGUUAGCUUUCUUGUUCAGUUGGGAUACUAUAAGGUAAUUUUUCUCCUGCAGGCCAUCACAAGUUGUCACUUCUGGUUGCUGUUGGCUUGGGAUUGCUGUGGUCCCGCAUACAGCUGUUUGUAAAGUCACUAGCCAUGUUUUUCUGUCUGGAAACUUGUCAUUCUUGCAGAUGAGUGGACGGAGAAUUAAAAUUAAGACUAUUUUAAGUCUCCUGCCUGGAAGUCUAAUUUUCAACA